Molecule: long non-coding RNA, 976 nt
Filed under: Betta splendens (Siamese fighting fish)
Lineage: Eukaryota; Metazoa; Chordata; Actinopteri; Anabantiformes; Osphronemidae
Description: lncRNA (ENSBSLG00000021798.1)
Source: RNAcentral
GCUGGAUGAGACUGGAGGAGAGCGGUGGCCCGGGGCGACGGCGAGAGGAGACGGGAGAACAGAGGGAGGGAUGAAGAGGAACAGAGGUGGACGGGGAGCAGAGGUGUGGUUGGGACACAGAGUUCUUACUGAACACCAGACCGACAGCAACGGGACUUGGAAACGCUCCGCACGCCUCAGCGUCGGCCAUUUUGGUGCCUGCUUGCAGGACUCGCUGGACUUCCGUGACUUCUCCCAGUUCCUCGGUGGAGCGGCAUCGCAGCAACUGCAGAAUGCAGAGCUGCUCCUCGCUGCCUCUGGAGCUUCCCAGCACUCGCAUAGCAACAAUGACAGGAUGCUGCUGGGAAGGGUUAAGGCCUUUGCAUCUGUUCAACUUAGGAAUGAGCUCGGAAGAGAAAGUGGCGCUGACAGCUCCGCAUCACUGUAUUCAGGUCACGGCAUCGGGCUGUUACACAGACUCGUCAGACUGUCGCAGUGCUGGAAGAGACUCAUGUUUACCAAACGGACAUUCAGUUUGUGAAUCCUCACUUCGCAGCAGCUGUGAACUGUGAUUAUGAGCUCCUGAGUCACGUCGCUGAAGGAUGGACGGCGAAGCCACCGGACGAAUCCUCGCCAUAAAUUUGAGUUCACAACCUGUCGGCUCCAAAGGUCACUGCUUUCGGCGCCUCGGAGGCCGACGCGUGAGGAAGCCUCGCUUCUCCAAAGCUGUCUGACGUUAUUAGAUCUGUGCUGCCUGGCUCUGAGUCACCUCUGACGCACCAAGAGAGGGUUUGAACCCCACAGCUCCACAUUAGGCUCGCUGUUGAUACUUUAUUUAUUAAUUUAUUUGAUUGUAUAAACACAUAUUUGUGCACAACAAAAAAAUUUAAGUAAAUUCACUCUUUGCUUUUCUUAGAAGUGAAUGUAAUGAUAUUAAUGCCAGUAAUUUAGACAGCUUUUUUUAUUGGACUAAACAAUAAAACCACUCAUAAAUCCA